Molecule: long non-coding RNA, 347 nt
Filed under: Marmota marmota marmota (Alpine marmot)
Lineage: Eukaryota; Metazoa; Chordata; Mammalia; Rodentia; Sciuridae
Description: lncRNA (ENSMMMG00000004043.1)
Source: RNAcentral
AUGUAGUGCUGUGUAGACUGAGCCUCCCGAGUGACUGCUUCGAGUGGAAUCCUCAACAUUUGCCUCAGAGUAUUAUGAAUUUUCUGAACUCAGAGAUAAAGAGAAAGUUCUUGGAUUUACUCUCUUUAUAUUGCAUGAUGUCGUAUUUGGAAGUGAUUUGUUCCAGCCUCGUAGAACAGUCCUGAAGUAUUGGCUGAGCAUCACAGCGACUGAGUGCUCAGGGUGCAAGGGUCAUGAAGAACUGUGUACAUGGUGAGAACUGGAGACUUCUUUCACGGAGCUUGAUUGGAAAAGUUAAAAAAUGAGCAAUGAAUAAAGGAGAUCUAAGGACUUUUUAAAAAGGUGGG